This 527-nucleotide ribosomal RNA is filed under the name Yarrowia lipolytica. RNAcentral describes it as "eukaryotic LSU rRNA". It matches the Rfam family "Eukaryotic large subunit ribosomal RNA", at positions 48 to 656 of the family's 3401-position model. Lineage: Eukaryota; Fungi; Ascomycota; Dipodascomycetes; Dipodascales. The record is from RNAcentral.
AAGCGGAGGAAAAGAAACCAACAGGGAUUGCCUCWAGUACGGCGAGUGAAGCGGCAAAAGCUCAAAUUUGAAACCCUCGGGAUUGUAAUUUGAAGAUUUGGCAUUGGAGAAAGCUAACCCAAGUUGCUUGGAAUAGUACGUCAUAGAGGGUGACAACCCCGUCUGGCUAACCGUUCUCCAUGUAUUGCCUUAUCAAAGAGUCGAGUUGUUUGGGAAUGCAGCUCAAAGUGGGUGGUAAACUCCAUCUAAAGCUAAAUACUGGUGAGAGACCGAUAGCGAACAAGUACUGUGAAGGAAAGGUGAAAAGAACUUUGAAAAGAGAGUGAAAUAGUAUGUGAAAUUGUUGAUAGGGAAGGAAAUGAGUGGAGAGUGGCCGAGGUUUCAGCCGCCCCUCGUGGGCGGUGUACUGCCGACGCCGAGUCAUCGAUAGCGAGACGAGGGUUACAAAUGGGAGCGCCUUUCGGGCGUUCUCCCCUAACCCUCCACACUGCCACCGACGACAUAAUCCACCCAUUUCACCCGUCUUG